This is a small nucleolar RNA of Caenorhabditis elegans, 226 nucleotides long. The record is from Ensembl. Lineage: Eukaryota; Metazoa; Nematoda; Chromadorea; Rhabditida; Rhabditidae.
UUUCCACACUCCUUAAGCUAGUUUGACUGUGAUUGUGCAUUUUAGAUCGCUUCAUGAGUUCGCUGCGUUUUGCUGUGAAUUCAUUGUUGCCCUAAUUUGUAUAGUCAUGGGUGUCAAAUUGGCGAGUUACGUGUGGUAAAUGGAUGACGAUCAAAUUUUGUUCUGUGAACUUUGCCGUAGAUGUGAUGCUGUUUGUUUAUAGAUUGAUAAUGAUUGUCGAACAAUU